This 1288-nucleotide long non-coding RNA is filed under the name Mytilus galloprovincialis (Mediterranean mussel). Lineage: Eukaryota; Metazoa; Mollusca; Bivalvia; Mytilida; Mytilidae. The record is from RNAcentral.
GUGUUCAUAACCUCUUUUGCAGUGUCUAUAUGACUCCUAUAUUUUGUAUUAUCCACACAAACUACAAAUUUUGAGAACAUUUCAUUUUUAUGGACGGAAAUAUGUCAUUAACAAUGAGUCUGAUUAUAUUCGCUUGGAGUAAGAAACGCAAGGAAUACAGUUUACUAAAGAUCUUCCGUCAAAACCAAAUUAAUAAAAGACAAAAUCAAAUUAGACAAAACGAAAGAAAACAAUUGACGCGGUAUCUGACUUGGGAUAGGCACAUGGACAUUUGACGGGGCUUCCAUUUUCUCUCUCUCUCAUUUUCGUACAAAAAUAACCCAGAACAAGAAUGUGUUCUCAGUACGUGUUCCCAUUACACGGAUGCCCCACUUGCAAUAUCAUUUUCUAUGUUAAAUGAGCCGUGAAAUUGGGAUAAAAACUCUAAUUUGGCAUUAAAAUUAGAAAGACCAUGUCAUAGGGAACAUGUGUACUAAGUUUCAAGUUAAUUGGUUUUCAACUUCAUCAAAAACUACCUUGACCAAAAACUUAAACCUGAAGCAAAACAAACGAUCGAACGAACGGACGGACGCACAGACCAGAAAACAUAGUGCCUCCUACUAUUGUAGGUGGGGCAUAAUAAGCACCUACCUCUGUAAUACCGGUAUUAAAGACAAUAAAUACACAAGUGGAAUCAAAGUAAAAUUAAAUCAAAUUGCAUCUAUCAAAGAAUGUCACCGCAAUUGAUAAUAAAUUGGUACAAUAUCGAAAUUUUAGAAAGGUUGAUAUUAUUAGGACGACGGUUGAGAAUUAAUGAACCCGAUAAUUUCUACUGUUUCAUUCUAAAGCAUCACACAUGGAAAAUAUAGUGAAGAAAGAGGUUAACCUACACAACAUUUUAAAGUUAUUGUAAUUUUCCCCACAAUUAUCGAUAAAUUGGUACUAUGCUCUUUUACAUAGCUAUUAUAUAAUAAGGACAAUAAAUACGGAUGAAUAAUGAGGCAGCAAGCAUAUCUGAUAUACUUGAAGACAAAAUAACACGUCUGCAUUAAGUUUGAAGAAGAUACAUGUACAAAUCUGAUAAUUGUUUAUUGAUUGACAAUGACAUUGCAAAGCGGGUGCUGGAUUACCUGUAGCACGAGAUGCUUACUUGUUGACCAAAAUUCACCAAAACUAAAGCCUAUGCCAGUACCAUAUUUAGCAUCCAAUCUAUUAUCAUUUCAUAAUGUAUAUAAGAUGUUAUUUUAUUAUUUUCCUUGAUAUAUUGUAAAUGAAUAUUUAUUUAUAGCAAUAAAUGUCAAAUGGAUGC